UGGAGAGUUUGAUCCUGGCUCAGAUUGAACGCUGGCGGCAGGCCUAACACAUGCAAGUCGAACGGUAGCACAGAGAGCUUGCUCUCGGGUGACGAGUGGCGGACGGGUGAGUAAUGUCUGGGAAACUGCCUGAUGGAGGGGGAUAACUACUGGAAACGGUAGCUAAUACCGCAUAAYGUCGCAAGACCAAAGAGGGGGACCUUCGGGCCUCUUGCCAUCAGAUGUGCCCAGAUGGGAUUAGCUAGUAGGUGGGGUAACGGCUCACCUAGGCGACGAUCCCUAGCUGGUCUGAGAGGAUGACCAGCCACACUGGAACUGAGACACGGUCCAGACUCCUACGGGAGGCAGCAGUGGGGAAUAUUGCACAAUGGGCGCAAGCCUGAUGCAGCCAUGCCGCGUGUAUGAAGAAGGCCUUCGGGUUGUAAAGUACUUUCAGCGGGGAGGAAGGUGUUGUGGUUAAUAACCACAGCAAUUGACGUUACCCGCAGAAGAAGCACCGGCUAACUCCGUGCCAGCAGCCGCGGUA
Molecule: ribosomal RNA, 526 nt
Filed under: Enterobacter cloacae
Lineage: Bacteria; Pseudomonadati; Pseudomonadota; Gammaproteobacteria; Enterobacterales; Enterobacteriaceae
Description: bacterial SSU rRNA
Rfam family: Bacterial small subunit ribosomal RNA
Source: RNAcentral